GUGCUCACUUCAGCAGCACAUACACUAAAAUUAGAACAAUUCAGAGAAAGUUAGCAUGGUUCCUGCGCAAGAAGGAAAAAAAGAGUAACUGCCCAGGAGUGU
Molecule: small nuclear RNA, 102 nt
Organism: Myodes glareolus (Bank vole)
Lineage: Eukaryota; Metazoa; Chordata; Mammalia; Rodentia; Cricetidae
Source: RefSeq, a predicted model, not a curated record